Homo sapiens (human) is the source of this 2524-nucleotide long non-coding RNA. RefSeq lists it as uncharacterized. The record is from RefSeq and is a predicted model, not a curated record. The transcript is spliced from 2 exons. NCBI's taxonomy places the organism in Eukaryota, Metazoa, Chordata, Mammalia, Primates, Hominidae.
ACUACUGUUGCCAACUCCAAUGGAGGUCUUUGCUGUGACUAAUAAGAAAUGUUUGUUGUUUUGUUUUUUGAGACAGGGUCUCUCUCCAUCGCCCAGACUGAAUUGCGGUGGUGCAAUCAUAGCUCACUACAGCCUUGAACUCCUGAGCUCAAGGGAUCUUCCCAUCUCAGCCUCCACAGUAACUAGGACUAUAGGCAUGUGCCACCAUGUCUCACUUUGUUGCAGAGUCUGGUCUGGAACUCCUAAACUCAAGCAAUUCCCCCACCUCAGCCUCCCAAAGUGCUGGGAUUAUAGAUGUGAGCCACUGUGCCCGGCUUAAGAAAUGUUUUCUAACUUAAAAAUAACCAUAUAGCCUUACGUCUAUUUGUGUGGGGGAAGAGAAAUGCAGGACAGUCAUCUCAGUUGCAUUAUCCAGGGAAGGCACCACCGAUUCUGCUUAGCUUUAAAUUGGGGCUGCCACUCAGGAGACAUUUUGUGUUUAGCAUGUUCAGGUCCUGACUUGUAGCUGAAACGAUCAGUCGGGCCCCUGGCGCCACAUACCAGUGACUGCAGCGACUGUAGCUCCUGUGAUGCGAUGGCUAGCCCCGUACUCUUGCAAAGCACUCCAUUUCUUCAACAUCUUCCAAACUCCUGACGUUUAUAGUGUCCAUCUGUGGUGUCAUUUAUAGCAGCCUGGAUUAGGAAGAGAAUACUAGGCUCAUGCACUUAAAACCAAGCACACACACGAAACAGCAGCAGCACUAAUCACCCGCAGCUUUUCACGAAUCCACACACGCCUCCCGUCUAGAGAGCCCCAGUGGCCCAGGGCCACCUCCAGUCCCUGGACUUGGAAAUCAGGACGCUGUGGAUCCCACAGGCGCCCCGCGACAUCCUGGAGUCGCCGGGAGUGGCGCUGCGGUGAAAGCCGGUGCCUAGAGUGGGCUUAGGGGUCCCAUUCCACUCGGAAAGUCCUCUCACCUCCCCAAGGGCCAUUCUGCCGGCGCAAUGUGGGGGUCCCUCCGCCACUCGAGCAGAGCCUGCCUAGGCCAGGCACCCCUUUGGGUGAGAGCGGAGGGCCCCUGGGACGCCCAGCCAGGCCUGGCGUCUGGGGAGCCGGGGCUCCUGUGUGUGUCGGGCAGGCUCCGAUGGCCGAAGCAGGGACGAAGGAACGGCUUCGCUGCGGGAGGCUAGAGGGCUGCGCUUCCGCCCUCCCGGCCUCCCUCUUGCCGCAUGAGCAGCGCAGGGCCUCCUGGGCUGUGCUGGGGUCAAGAGUUAUGAACACUUCGUGUCCUCAGGAGCUCACGGGGGUGACGAGAGGCGGUCUGGGUCUGAAGCCGCUACACAGAGGGGAGCAGUGGGGCCUCGGGGAGCAGCGGGGCCUCGGCUUGGCGGCUCCCCCCGCCACCCCGCCACCUUUCAGGACCCAGGCCAAGCCGCCUCACGAAGACCAGGAAGCGGCCUCUGCCGGGAAGCCACCUGCAGCCUAUAGUCCCCUCCCCAAGCGGCCCCAGCCCGUGCUAUCUCCUACAUAGUUGCCUUCCGAACGCCUGGAGGGCCCUGACCCUUCCGGUGUUCCACCGCAAUGGGGUCGGGGGGAGAGGGGGGCUGUGGCUGCCUGAGACCUCCAGGGCAGCGCACAUUACGGGCGGGAAAGGGAAGUCAAGGCAGGAACCAGAACAUCCAGGGAGAAUGCAGGUCUGACAUGAGCCAAGGCCUUGGCAGUAGAGGAACUUUCACCAGGUCGUGGAAAAGACCAAGCCACUAGCCCCAAAGAGCCGGACUUCUCGCCAAGCGCCGGAGUCCCUGAACCAGGAUAUGUGGGCACUGCUCCCUGCAAGGUGUCGAUAAUGCAGGAAUAUCACGAAGUCACCAGGAUAGCAGGUUUUUCAGCAACAUUUAACUAUUUACUGAAAUACCUCUAAUGCUGACCCUAGUAAAAACAACUUAAUUUCAAUUCAGGAAAUUUCAUUAAGAAUACAUGCUAAUAAAUGGUACCUCUGUAACUGCAAGAAUGUGAAGGAAGAAAAAACGUACGUGAAUCUGAGGUCUCACAUUUUUCAUUUGUAGUAGGUGCUAUCCAUGGUGUGGAGAAAUUUUUAUAGAAGAACAGCACCCAGGCUAGAGAAUGAGACCUGCUUGAGACAUAUCACUUCUUUUUCAUGUAUCUUCUGCCACAUAUUUUCAUCCAAAUGUUUAUUUGUUUCUAAGACAGCUAAAGAAAGGAGUCUAUUUUAAAGAAAUUUAGACAUACAUUAAACUUUCCUUGUUUAACACAUUCAGUCAACUAAAACUAUGAGAGGUCAUGUUUGGGGAGAAGACAUUUGUUUAUACUUAAUAUCACUUCCUAAAACACAAAAACCCCUUUCUAAGGUUUCCUAGACUUUAAAAGAUAGGAGUGGUAUACUGUAUUGAUUUCAGUUAGGAAAAAGGAAGGCAAUUUGAAUAGGGGCCAGUGGAAUACAAAUAUGUCAAUAUUCUCUUGAAUAUAGUGUAAAGUAACUGAGAUUACCUGGUUUUAAAUAAAGAGCAUAUGAAAAAUGGAAAA